This 26120-nucleotide long non-coding RNA is filed under the name Daucus carota (carrot). RNAcentral's name for it is "long non-coding RNA (DCAR_LNC003535)". The record is from RNAcentral. Lineage: Eukaryota; Viridiplantae; Streptophyta; Magnoliopsida; Apiales; Apiaceae.
UCGCAAUUUAGAAGCAAGUAUUUCUACCCUACUCCUCUAGUACCUAUAGAUACUAAAACCUUCUUUAUAUCAUGAUUCAAAUUAUUUGCAAUUACUUUCUUGUGAAGCAUAUCUAGUACUUUUAAACCUUUUGGUUGAACGGAUAACACUUUUGGUAUCGACUCUACACUAUGAUAUGCAUAAAGAAAUUGUUUUAACAAAAUGUUGUUCUGGCUCUUGAAUUACAUGAUAGAACUGCAGAUUGUUUUAAAAAUUAAACUGUUGGGUUGUUUUUGCGUAAGAGGCUCGGGCACCGGCCCAGCGUGAAAGGUGGCUCCUUAAGCCCGGAUUACCGGAAUUCGUAAUAUUUGUCAACCUUGCUGAAUAAGCUUGGUUUAUGGACUAUAGCAUGACUGAUCAUCUGUUAUAGCCAGGUGUCCAAUUAAUUUUAAAGCCCAAUAAAAUUGUGAAUAGUUUAAAAAGAAGUUACCCUGCCUUCAAGAGAUAUUUGCUUAUACAUUCAUUUCUGCAGUUUUAAAUAUUUUCACUUCUUUAUUAUGGCAUUGCUGUACAACAAAUAUCAAUUUCAUUUUGUUAUUCUUGCUGAGCAUUAUUGCUCAUUCUUGCUAUUCCUUCUAACCCUUUUCAGCUAGGAAUAAAGAUGAUUCACUUAAGACUAGGCAAGGAUUGCAAGUGGUUGAGUUUCAAGCAGAUGGACAGGUAGAGUAUUUAGGACGAUGUCAUUAAGACUAGAUGCAGUUGGAGUUCUGCAAUUCAAUUCAGUUGGAAAUUAGAUUUGUUUAUUUGGUUAUCAGCUACUCUUCUUAUCGAGGUUUAGCUGAUAAUGUUGUUUAAUUUGUAAAUAAGAUUUUAUAGUUUUAGUUUCUGAUUUCAAUGCUGUAGCCUGUAUGCGAUCCUGUUUUCAGGGGGUGAAAUUGAUUUUGAAUUAAAGACCUUCUUUUAAAAAAAAAAAAUAUCCAGGUUUAGAAAUACUUGUUUUUACUUUCUUCCAAAAAUACAGGUUUUAAAUUGUUUUUCUUUUAAUGGCUCAAAACUACAGGUUUUAAAUUAUUUUUAUUUACACGUGGCACCAGAUCUAGACCCCCGGAUUUGAGGGAUGUCACAGUUGGUAUCAGAGCUACAGGUUAUAAGUUAUUGAAAUCAGAAUGUAGGUUGUAACUUGUCUAAUAAGAUAGACACGUUAAGUGAAACCUCACAUAUAGGUAAGUUCAGAUUAGUGGUGUAACCUCAUAUAGAGGUAUCGUAAGACUAUUUGGGGAUAGUCCUUCUGAGCAUAAUAAAAUGAAGCUAAACGAUUAUGUUUAAGUGAUUAUGGUUAUAGACACAACAAUUCCUAAUUCUAGUUCUUCCAGUCCCUAGUGGCCUAGUUUAUUGACCAAUUCAGAUUUAUAUCAUUGUAAGAGGGUCAAAGUUAGACCUAUCAACAGAACCUUCAAGCUAGAACCAGUAGAGAUUCUCACACAGUCUAAUGUAUCCUUUAUAGUAUCUUCCAAGUGUUGAGUAUUAUUUGAAGAGUCACCUUUUGAUUCUUGUCAGAGAUAUCUAGAAUUGGUGAAAGAAUAGAGGUGUUAACAAGUCCGAGUUUACAGCUUUGUAUAUAGUUAAGUAGUGAGCGUUAGAGCUACGUAGAGUUUGUGUUAGAUUAUUCGAUCUAGUACUUAUGUGUGAGUUAAGAUGUCAACGCUCUAUGGUGAUGAUUGUAUAAAGUUGGAUAAGACUUUUGACCGACAACGAUAUCAAUGAUGGGAUCUUCAGAGGCUAUUACUAGUCAACGAUAAUAUAUGCAAGUGGUCACUAAAACGUCAAGAAAAAUCACUAGAAUCAGAACGAGUCAUCAAAAGAAUCGAUCAAAAAGACAUCUGUGAGAAUCCUGGCAAUACCUUCCUCAUUGUUGAUAUAUUGAUUUCUUUCCCCAUCAAUGAUUUGUUCUGACAUCACUUUAAAAAAAAAAAAUAUUUGAUAAAGAGUAUAUUUUUACCUUUCACUCGAGUUCUCGAAUGAUACUUGUGCUUACUGUCACACCUAUAGAAUCUAUUCAAUCUUGGUAAUUUCGAACCCUUUCAUAUUCUCUACUCUAACUGAGAUGAACAACCCUACCUAUAGGGGACACAAGGACUACCUGUCUGUGUGAUAGGAGUUGGAUGGGACGCCAUCACUUGUGUGUGUUGUACAUUACAAGAAGGUUAACUACCUUUAGUAGUGUCUUAAAUUAGACACGCAACACCGAGUUCUAUAGACCAUAUUGAUCUCUCAGUUAUUCAUUUAUUUCAAUCACGUAACACUUGCUCCAAUAUGUGAAAUCUGUCAUAUCUUUUACCUUCAAGAUUCUUCUAAUCUCUAAUAGUUGGAGGUAUGCCAACCGAGUUGCCAAUAUGAAUUAAGACUUUGUAGUAAGAAGCACCAGGGAUGAAAGCGAAUGACAAUGCUGGUUAUAUCAGAAAGGAAUAUUAUGGAUUAUAGAGAUCGUACACUCUAGUUUUCUUUUUGAUGAUUCCGAGGACGGAAUCUUUUUAAGGGGGGUAGAUUGUGACGACCCGGAUUUUCAGAAAUUAUUUUAUUAUUUUUAUUCAUGAUUAUUCGAGACAAAUGAGGAAUAAAUUUCAAUAUUUUAUUCUAGUUUGAUAAUUUUCAAAAAUAUUUGUUUAAAUUAUUUUCCUAGUCAUUGUGAUUAUGAGAAAAUAUCUGUUGAUUGUACAAUUAUAUGUUACGAGAUUUAAUUGAAUUAGUUGUCUACUAUUAUGUCUGUGUGUGCAUUUAUUUUUACUUUUAAUAUUACUGUAUUGUUUUAUUGAAAUUUAUUAUCCUCUUAAAUGGAUAUUUAUUUUUGUAAAAAUACAAAGAUAAUUUCAAAAAUUAUUUUAAUUGCUCGAUAGUGAUCAUAAAUAUGUUUAGAAGUUUUUAAAAUAUUAAAAAUCCAAUUUCUACAAGGACAUGAUUUUUAAUUAGUUUCUAAACGCAGCUAACUUCUUAAUUUUGUAUAAAUUUUGAAAAUGCUCUAUAAAUCUUGAAACUUUUAUUUUAUGAGUUUUAUAAUAUUCGGUAAUUUAUAAAAUUAGUUUGUUAAUUUUUCGAGAAAGUUUUAAUGCGAGUUAUCCCGUAAAUCAACUAAAUAGCGGGUGUUUGGAUGAUUAUUCAGCUUAAAAUAAAACGUGGCAGCCUUUGGCCAAACCACGUGCCCUGCUUUUCACCACCGCCAUCCCUUUUCUUCAUUUUAUAUACAUCAGCCUCUCAAUCUCUCUCUCUCUCUCCCUGUGAAAUCCUCCAUCUCUCCCUCUCCGCUCCUCUUUCUUUUCUCACCCAUCUUCCUCUCUUUCUUGGCAUCACCGUCCCUUCCCUGCAGCCGCCGAAUUAUGCCGCUGCCACCUCUUUCCGGCGACCACCAUAGCCCUGCACCAAUUAUAAAUCAGUGGGUAUAAAGCUUAAUUUCUCUUUGUCAAAUCAGUUCUAUAUAAACGUAUAUAUACAUGUGGUGUUGUGUUUAUAUGGUUUAAAUUGAUUUAUAUAAUCGAUUUAUGUGUGCUUGUAUGUAUAUAAACUGAUUAUAUGCUGGUUAUUGAAAUUUGAAGGUUGAUUGAAUUUUUGAGAUUGAGAUUGGUGUUAGUAAUCGUAUGAUUGAAUUGUGUGCUUAAUUGAUAUUUGAAUUGGUUGUUGGAGGUUCAUUAUAAAUGGUGCGCCAACUAGUAGUGUAAUCGGAUGACUUGGGUACUUGAUUUAUGGGAAUAUAUAACUGAGUAUUAAAGCUUUAAGGUCUGAGAUUUUGUGUAAAUGUUUUCAGAAUGGUGUUUUAAGAGUUUAAGUAUUGGGCUAAAAAAAAUUUAGAUUUACACAUAAUCGGUUGAAUUGUAAGUUGCUGCUGAUCUGUUUUGCAGUAAAAUUCUGGGCUUCUAGAGUCGAAUUAUAUGCUUAAUAUUUUUGUGGUUAUGUGCUCCUCAGAGUCUAGUUUAUGUGCGCAAAAGAAUCGAAUCAAUUCGAUUAGCGAGCUAGGAGAUAUGACCGUUUUAGUAUAGUAUGGUGCUGAAAAUUCUGGGCAGGUUUGUCCUGUUCUAGGCUCUGUUUUACUGCUUUAAACUUGAAGUUUCUUUCUGAAAAUUUUACUGUAGGUUGGAAUAAUAUUCAGGAGUGUCUCAUAAAAAUUUUGUAUUUAAAAGAUAAAUUUUCAAUUUAUUAAAAAUCAUAGACCGAGGGCUGUUUGAACUAUUUGUUCUAGUUUUUCUUUCUUUGCUAGUGCAUAGUAUGAGGUUAUACUUGGCUAAUUGCAUAUGAUUGAUUAUUACAUUGAUUGGCUCGGUUAACCUUUAUAUCUAAUUAAACGUGCUUUGCGUAUAACAAAUUAGUAAUCCUGCUAAAAGAUUUUAUUAUAUGUUCACUACAAGUCAAGACAGAUUUUCUGUUCACUGCAAGCCAAGGGAUCUUUUUUUAUAUUAAUAAUUCAUGUGUUAGCAAUGGUAUUGGUUGGUUGUUGGUAUUGCAAACAGGUGGAUAGUCCGAUAAACAGAGGAGAUGAUGCCGAAUUUUCGUUAGGAAUUAUAUGUAUUUAAUGGCUAUAAAAAGGGGUUAUUUGUGCAAUUAUGUGUUAUGUGUUUAUCUGCCUAUGUGGUAUGUAUAUGCGAAGGGUAGAUAUAUAUAGGUCUUAAUACUUUUCAGAGUUAGUUAAUUUGUCUGAUCCGACGGUUAAAAUACUAUUUUACUAUCGUAUAGAAUUGAAGACAUUGACCGAGGCAUUGAUCGAGAAGUGAUUGAAAUGGGUAUCCAGAAUUAGCCAAGUAGUGUUGCAAGUUGAAGUAGGGCGGAGAUUUGUUAUAGAUAAAAGUUUGUCAGAAGCUGGCAGAAAGGAAUGAUAUGGCGGUAUAUAGUAUUAUUAGAAAUCUGACCUAGACACCGGAGUUAAGGCAAGUACUUCUACCUUUCUCUCGCAAUUUAGAAGCAAGUAUUUCUACCCUACUCCUCUAGUACCUAUAGAUACUAAAACCUUCUUUAUAUCAUGAUUCAAAUUAUUUGCAAUUACUUUCUUGUGAAGCAUAUCUAGUACUUUUAAACUUUUUGGUUGAACGGAUAACACUUUUGGUAUCAACUCUACACUAUGAUAUGCAUAAAGAAAUUGUUUUAACAAAAUGUUAUUCUGGCUCUUGAAUUACAUGAUGGAACUGCAGAUUGUUUUAAAAAUUAAACUGUUGGGUUGUUUUUGCGUAAGAGGCUCGGGCACCGGCCCAGCGUGAAAGGUGGCUCCUUAAGCCCGGAUUACCGGAAUUCGUAAUAUUUGUCAACCUUGCUGAAUAAGCUUGGUUUAUGGACUAUAGCAUGACUGAUCAUCUGUUAUAGCCAGGUGUCCAAUUAAUUUUAAAGCCCAAUAAAAUUGUGAAUAGUUUAAAAAGAAGUUACCCUGCCUUCAAGAGAUAUUUGCUUAUACAUUCAUUUCUGCAUUUUUAAAUAUUUUCACUUCUUUAUUAUGGCAUUGCAGUACAACAAAUAUCAAUUUCAUUUUGUUAUUCUUGCUGAGCAUUAUUGCUCAUUCUUGCUAUUCCUUCUAACCCUUUUCUGCUAGGAAUAAAGAUGAUUCACUUAAGACUAUGCAACGAUUGCAAGAGGUUGACUUUCAAGCAGAUGGACAUGUAGAGUAUUUAGGACGAUGACAUUAAGACUAGAUGCAGUUGGAGUUCUGCAAUUCAAUUCAGUUGGAAAUUAGAUUUGUUUAUUUGGUUAUCAGCUACUCUUCUUAUCGAGGUUUAGCUGAUAAUGUUGUUUAAUUUGUAAAUAAGAUUUUAUAGUUUUAGUUUCUGAUUUCAAUGCUGUAGCCUGUAUGCGAUCCUGUUUUCAGGGGGUGAAAUUGAUUCUGAAUUAAAGACCUUCUUUUAAAAAAAUAAUAUCCAGGUUCAGAAAUACUUGUUUUUACUUUCUUCCAAAAAUACAGGUUUUAAAUUGUUUUUCUUUUAAUGGCUCAAAACUACAGGUUUUAAAUUAUUUUUAUUUACACGUGGCACCAGAUCUAGACCCCCCGAUUUGAGGGAUGUCACAGUUGGUAUUAGAGCUACAGGUUAUAAGUUAUUGAAAUCAGAAUGUAGGUUGUAACUUGUCUAAUAAGAUAGACACGUUAAGUGAAACCUCACAUAUAGGUAAGUUCAGAUUAGUGGUGUAACCUCAUAUAGAGGUAUCGUAAGACUAUUUGGGGAUAGUCCUUCUGAGCAUAAUAAAAUGAAGCUAAACGAUUAUGUUUAAGUGAUUAUGGUUAUAGACACAACAAUUCCUAAUUCUAGUUCUUCCAGUCCCUAGUGGCCUAGUUUAUUGACCAAUUCAGAUUUAUAUCAUUGUAAGAGGGUCAAAGUUAGACCUAUCAACAGAACCUUCAAGCUAGAACCAGUAGAGAUUCUCACACAGUCUAAUGUAUCCUUUAUAGUAUCUUCCAAGUGUUGAGUAUUAUUUGAAGAGUCACCUUUUGAUUCUUGUCAGAGAUAUCUAGAAUUGGUGAAAGAAUAGAGGUGUUAACAAGUCCGAGUUUACAGCUUUGUAUAUAGUUAAGUAGUGAGCGUUAGAGCUACGUAGAGUUUGUGUUAGAUUAUUCGAUCUAGUACUUAUGUGUGAGUUAAGAUGUCAACGCUCUAUGGUGAUGAUUGUAUAAAGUUGGAUAAGACUUUUGACCGACAACGAUAUCAAUGAUGGGAUCUUCAGAGGCUAUUACUAGUCAACGAUAAUAUAUGCAAGUGGUCACUAAAACGUCAAGAAGAAUCACUAGAAUCAGAACGAGUCAUCAAAAGAAUCGAUCAAAAAGACAUCUGUGAGAAUCCUGGCAAUACCUUCCUCAUUGUUGAUAUAUUGAUUUCUUUCCCCAUCAAUGAUUUGUUCUGACAUCACUUUAAAAAAAAAAAAUAUUUGAUAAAGAGUAUAUUUUUACCUUUCACUCGAGUUCUCGAAUGAUACUUGUGCUUACUGUCACACCUAUAGAAUCUAUUCAAUCUUGGUAAUUUCGAACCCUUUCAUAUUCUCUACUCUAACUGAGAUGAACAACCCUACCUAUAGGGGACACAAGGACUACCUGUCUGUGUGAUAGGAGUUGGAUGGGACGCCAUCACUUGUGUGUGUUGUACAUUACAAGAAGGUUAACUACCUUUAGUAGUGUCUUAAAUUAGACACGCAACACCGAGUUCUAUAGACCAUAUUGAUCUCUCAGUUAUUCAUUUAUUUCAAUCACGUAACACUUGCUCCAAUAUGUGAAAUCUGUCAUAUCUUUUACCUUCAAGAUUCUUCUAAUCUCUAAUAGUUGGAGGUAUGCCAACCGAGUUGCCAAUAUGAAUUAAGACUUUGUAGUAAGAAGCACCAGGGAUGAAAGCGAAUGACAAUGCUGGUUAUAUCAGAAAGGAAUAUUAUGGAUUAUAGAGAUCGUACACUCUAGUUUUCUUUUUGAUGAUUCCGAGGACGGAAUCUUUUUAAGGGGGUUAGAUUGUGACGACCCGGAUUUUCAGAAAUUAUUUUAUUAUUUUUAUUCAUGAUUAUUCGAGACAAAUGAGGAAUAAAUUUCAAUAUUUUAUUCUAGUUUGAUAAUUUUCAAAAAUAUUUGUUUAAAUUAUUUUCCUAGUCAUUGUGAUUAUGAGAAAAUAUCUGUUGAUUGUACAAUUAUAUGUUACGAGAUUUAAUUGAAUUAGUUGUCUACUAUUAUGUCUGUGUGUGCAUUUAUUUUUACUUUUAAUAUUACUGUAUUGUUUUAUUGAAAUUUAUUAUCCUCUUAAAUGGAUAUUUAUUUUUGUACAAAUACAAAGAUAAUUUCAAAAAUUAUUUUAAUUGCUCGAUAGUGAUCAUAAAUAUGUUUAGAAGUUUUUAAAAUAUUAAAAAUCCAAUUUCUACAAGGACAUGAUUUUUAAUUAGUUUCUAAACGCAGCUAACUUCUUAAUUUUGUAUAAAUUUUGAAAAUGCUCUAUAAAUCUUGAAACUUUUAUUUUAUUAGUUUUAUAAUAUUCGGUAAUUUAUAAAAUUAGUUUGUUAAUUUUUCGAGAAAGUUUUAAUGCGAGUUAUCCCGUAAAUCAACUAAAUAGCGGGUGUUUGGAUGAUUAUUCAGCUUAAAUUAAAACGUGGCAGCCUUUGGCCAAACCACGUGCCCUGCUUUUCACCACCGCCAUCCCUUUUCUUCAUUUUAUAUACAUCAGCCUCUCAAUCUCUCUCUCUCUCUCGCUGUGAAAUCCUCCAUCUCUCCCUCUCCGCUCCUCUUUCUUUUCUCACCCAUCUUCCUCUCUUUCUUGGCAUCACCGUCCCUUCCCUGCAGCCGCCGAAUUAUGCCGUUAUGCCGCUGCCACCUCUUUCCAGCGACCACCAUAGCCCUGCACCAAUUAUAAAUCAGUGGGUGUAAAGCUUAAUUUCUCUUUGUCAAAUCAGUUCUAUAUAAACGUAUAUAUACAUGUGGUGUUGUGUUUAUAUGGAUUAAAUUGAUUUAUAUAAUCGAUUUAUGUGUGCUUGUAUGUAUAUAAACUGAUUAUAUGCUGGUUUUUGAAAUUUGAAGGUUGAUUGAAUUUUUGAGAUUGAGAUUGGUGUUAGUAAUCGUAUGAUUGAAUUGUGUGCUUAAUUGAUAUUUGAAUUGGUUGUUGUAAGUUGAUUAUAAAUAGUGCGCCAAUUAGUAGUGUAAUCGGAUGACUUGGGUACUUGAAUUAUGGGAAUAUAUAACUGAGUAUUCAAGCUUUAAGGUCAAUCCUCCAUCUCUCCCUCUCCGCUCCUCUUUCUUUUCUCACCCAUCUUUCUCUCUUUCUUGGCAUCACCGUCCCUUCCCUGCAGCCGCCGAAUUAUGCCGCUGCCACCUCUUUCCGGCGACCACCAUAGCCCUGCACCAAUUAUAAAUCAGUGGGUAUAAAGCUUAAUUUCUCUUUGUCAAAUCAGUUCUAUAUAAACGUAUAUAUACAUGUGGUGUUGUGUUUAUAUGGUUUAAAUUAAUUUAUAUAAUCGAUUUAUGUGUGCUUGUAUGUAUAUAAACUGAUUAUAUGCUUGUAAUUGAAGGUUGAUUGAAUUUCUGAGAUUGAGAUUGGUGUUAGUAAUUGUAUGAUUGAAUUGUGUGCUUAAUUGAUAUUUGAACUGGUUGUUGUAAGUUGAUUAUAAAUAGUGCGCCAACUAGUAGUGUAAUCGGAUGACUUGGGUACUUGAAUUAUGGGAAUAUAUAACUGAGUAUUCAAGCUUUAAGGUCUGAGAUUUUUUGUAAAUGUUUUCAAAGUGGUGUUUUAAGAGUUUAAGUAUUGGGCUAAAAAAAAAAUUUUGAUUUACACAUAUUCGGUUGAAUUCUAGAUUGCUGUUGAUCUGUUUUGAAUUACAACUCUGGGAUCAUAGAGUUGAAUUAUAUGCUUAAUAUUUGUGUGGUUAUGUGCUCCUUAGAGUCUAGUUUAUGUGCGCGAAAGAACCGAAUCGAUUCGAUUAGCGAGCUAGGAGAUAUGACCGUUUUAGUAUAGUAUGGUGCUGAAAAUUCUGGGCAGGUUUGUCCUGUUCUAGGCUCUGUUUUACUGCUUUAAACUUGAAGUUUCUUUCUGAAAAUUUUACUGUAGGUUGGAAUAAUAUUCAGGAGUGUCUCAUAAAAAUUUUGUAUUUAAAAGAUAAAUUUUCAAUUUAUUAAAAAUCAUAGACCGAGGGCUGUUUGAACUAUUUGUUCUAGUUUUUCUUUCUUUGCUAGUGCAUAGUAUGAGGUUAUACUUGGCUAAUUGCAUAUGAUUGAUUAUUACAUUGAUUGGCUCGGUUAACCUUUAUAUCUAAUUAAACGUGCUUUGCGUAUAACAAAUUAGUAAUCCUGCUAAAAGAUUUUAUUAUAUGUUCACUACAAGUCAAGACAGAUUUUCUGUUCACUGCAAGCCAAGGGAUCUUUUUUUAUAUUAAUAAUUCAUGUGUUAGCAAUGGUAUUGGUUGGUUGUUGGUAUUGCAAACAGGUGGAUAGUCCGAUAAACGGAGGAGAUGAUGCCGAAUUUUCGUUAGAAACUAUAUGUAUUUAAUGGCUAUAAAAAGGGGUUAUUUGUGCAAUUAUGUGUUAUGUGUUUAUCUGCCUAUGUGGUAUGUAUAUGCGAAGGGUAGAUAUAUAUAGGUCUUAAUACUUUUCAGAGUUAGUUAAUUUGUCUGAUCCGACGGUUAAAAUACUAUUUUACUAUCGUAUAGAAUUGAAGACAUUGACCGAGGCAUUGAUCGAGAAGUGAUUGAAAUGGGUAUCCAGAAUUAGCCAAGUAGUGUUGCAAGUUGAAGUAGGGCGGAGAUUUGUUAUAGAUAAAAGCUUGUCAGAAGCUGGCAGAAAGGAAUGAUAUGGCGGUAUAUAGUAUUAUUAGAAAUCUGACCUAGACACCGGAGUUAAGGCAAGUACUUCUACCUUUCUCUCGCAAUUUAGAAGCAAGUAUUUCUACCCUACUCCUCUAGUACCUAUAGAUACUAAAACCUUCUUUAUAUCAUGAUUCAAAUUAUUUGCAAUUACUUUCUUGUGAAGCAUAUCUAGUACUUUUAAACCUUUUGGUUGAACGGAUAACACUUUUGGUAUCGACUCUACACUAUGAUAUGCAUAAAGAAAUUGUUUUAACAAAAUGUUGUUCUGGCUCUUGAAUUACAUGAUAGAACUGCAGAUUGUUUUAAAAAUUAAACUGUUAGGUUGUUUUUGCGUAAGAGGCUCGGGCACCGGCCCAGCGUGAAAGGUGGCUCCUUAAGCCCGGAUUACCGGAAUUCGUAAUAUUUGUCAACCUUGCUGAAUAAGCUUGGUUUAUGGACUAUAGCAUGACUGAUCAUCUGUUAUAGCCAGGUGUCCAAUUAUUUUUAAAGCCCAAUAAAAUUGUGAAUAGUUUAAAAAGAAGUUACCCUGCCUUCAAGAGAUAUUUGCUUAUACAUUCAUUUCUGCAGUUUUAAAUAUUUUCACUUCUUUAUUAUGGCAUUGCUGUACAACAAAUAUCAAUUUCAUUUUGUUAUUCUUGCUGAGCAUUAUUGCUCAUUCUUGCUAUUCCUUCUAACCCUUUUCAGCUAGGAAUAAAGAUGAUUCACUUAAGACUAGGCAAGGAUUGCAAGUGGUUGAGUUUCAAGCAGAUGGACAGGUAGAGUAUUUAGGACGAUGUCAUUAAGACUAGAUGCAGUUGGAGUUCUGCAAUUCAAUUCAGUUGGAAAUUAGAUUUGUUUAUUUGGUUAUCAGCUACUCUUCUUAUCGAGGUUUAGCUGAUAAUGUUGUUUAAUUUGUAAAUAAGAUUUUAUAGUUUUAGUUUCUGAUUUCAAUGCUGUAGCCUGUAUGCGAUCCUGUUUUCAGGGGGUGAAAUUGAUUUUGAAUUAAAGACCUUCUUUUAAAAAAAUAAUAUAUCCAGGUUUAGAAAUACUUGUUUUUACUUUCUUCCAAAAAUACAGGUUUUAAAUUGUUUUUCUUUUAAUGGCUCAAAACUACAGGUUUUAAAUUAUUUUUAUUUACACGUGGCACCAGAUCUAGACCCCCGGAUUUGAGGGAUGUCACAGUUGGUAUCAGAGCUACAGGUUAUAAGUUAUUGAAAUCAGAAUGUAGGUUGUAACUUGUCUAAUAAGAUAGACACGUUAAGUGAAACCUCACAUAUAGGUAAGUUCAGAUUAGUGGUGUAACCUCAUAUAGAGGUAUCGUAAGACUAUUUGGGGAUAGUCCUUUUGAGCAUAAUAAAAUGAAGCUAAACGAUUAUGUUUAAGUGAUUAUGGUUAUAGACACAACAAUUCCUAAUUCUAGUUCUUCCAGUCCCUAGUGGCCUAGUUUAUUGACCAAUUCAGAUUUAUAUCAUUGUAAGAGGGUCAAAGUUAGACCUAUCAACAGAACCUUCAAGCUAGAACCAGUAGAGAUUCUCACACAGUCUAAUGUAUCCUUUAUAGUAUCUUCCAAGUGUUGAGUAUUAUUUGAAGAGUCACCUUUUGAUUCUUGUCAGAGAUAUCUAGAAUUGGUGAAAGAAUAGAGGUGUUAACAAGUCCGAGUUUACAGCUUUGUAUAUAGUUAAGUAGUGAGCGUUAGAGCUACGUAGAGUUCGUGUUAGAUUAUUCGAUCUAGUACUUAUGUGUGAGUUAAGACGUCAACGCUCUAUGGUGAUGAUUGUAUAAAGUUGGAUAAGACUUUUGACCGACAACGAUAUCAAUGAUGGGAUCUUCAGAGGCUAUUACUAGUCAACGAUAAUAUAUGCAAGUGGUCACUAAAACGUCAAGAAGAAUCACUAGAAUCAGAACGAGUCAUCAAAAGAAUCGAUCAAGAAGACAUCUGUGAGAAUCCUGGCAAUACCUUCCUCAUUGUUGAUAUAUUGAUUUCUUUCCCCAUCAAUGAUUUGUUCUGACAUCACUUAAAAAAAAAAAUAUUUGAUAAAGAGUAUAUUUUUACCUUUCACUCGAGUUCUCGAAUGAUACUUGUGCUUACUGUCAGACCUAUAGAAUCUAUUCAAUCUUGGUAAUUUCGAACCCUUUCAUAUUCUCUACUCUAACUGAGAUGAACAACCCUACCUAUAGGGGACACAAGGACUACCUGUCUGUGUGAUAGGAGUUGGAUGGGACGCCAUCACUUGUGUGUGUUGUACAUUACAAGAAGGUUAACUACCUUUAGUAGUGUCUUAAAUUAGACACGCAACACCGAGUUCUAUAGACCAUAUUGAUCUCUCAGUUAUUCAUUUAUUUCAAUCACGUAACACUUGCUCCAAUAUGUGAAAUCUGUCAUAUCUUUUACCUUCAAGAUUCUUCUAAUCUCUAAUAGUUGGAGGUAUGCCAACCGAGUUGCCAAUAUGAAUUAAGACUUUGUAGUAAGAAGCACCAGGGAUGAAAGCGAAUGACAAUGCUGGUUAUAUCAGAAAGGAAUAUUAUGGAUUAUAGAGAUCGUACGCUCUAGUUUUCUUUUUGAUGAUUCCGAGGACGGAAUCUUUUUAAGGGGGGUAGAUUGUGACGACCCGGAUUUUCAGAAAUUAUUUUAUUAUUUUUAUUCAUGAUUAUUCGAGACAAAUGAGGAAUAAAUUUCAAUAUUUUAUUCUAGUUUGAUAAUUUUCAAAAAUAUUUGUUUAAAUUAUUUUCCUAGUCAUUGUGAUUAUGAGAAAAUAUCUGUUGAUUGUACAAUUAUAUGUUACGAGAUUUAAUUGAAUUAGUUGUCUACUAUUAUGUCUGUGUGUGCAUUUAUUUUUACUUUUAAUAUUACUGUAUUGUUUUAUUGAAAUUUAUUAUCCUCUUAAAUGGAUAUUUAUUUUUGUAAAAAUACAAAGAUAAUUUCAAAAAUUAUUUUAAUUGCUCGAUAGUGAUCAUAAAUAUGUUUAGAAGUUUUUAAAAUAUUAAAAAUCCAAUUUCUACAAGGACAUGAUUUUUAAUUAGUUUCUAAACGCAGCUAACUUCUUAAUUUUGUAUAAAUUUUGAAAAUGCUCUAUAAAUCUUGAAACUUUUAUUUUAUGAGUUUUAUAAUAUUCGGUAAUUUAUAAAAUUAGUUUGUUAAUUUUUCGAGAAAGUUUUAAUGCGAGUUAUCCCGUAAAUCAACUAAAUAGCGGGUGUUUGGAUGAUUAUUCAGCUUAAAAUAAAACGUGGCAGCCUUUGGCCAAACCACGUGCCCUGCUUUUCACCACCGCCAUCCCUUUUCUUCAUUUUAUAUACAUCAGCCUCUCAAUCUCUCUCUCUCUCUCUCUGUGAAAUCCUCCAUCUCUCCCUCUCCGCUCCUCUUUCUUUUCUCACCCAUCUUCCUCUCUUUCUUGGCAUCACCGUCCCUUCCCUGCAGCCGCCGAAUUAUGCCGCUGCCACCUCUUUCCGGCGACCACCAUAGCCCUGCACCAAUUAUAAAUCAGUGGGUAUAAAGCUUAAUUUCUCUUUGUCAAAUCAGUUCUAUAUAAACGUAUAUAUACAUGUGGUGUUGUGUUUAUAUGGUUUAAUUUGAUUUAUAUAAUCGAUUUAUGUGUGCUUGUAUGUAUAUAAACUGAUUAUAUGCUGGUUAUUGAAAUUUGAAGGUUGAUUGAAUUUUUGAGAUUGAGAUUGGUGUUAGUAAUCGUAUGAUUGAAUUGUGUGCUUAAUUGAUAUUUGAAUUGGUUGUUGGAGGUUCAUUAUAAAUGGUGCGCCAACUAGUAGUGUAAUCGGAUGACUUGGGUACUUGAUUUAUGGGAAUAUAUAACUGAGUAUUAAAGCUUUAAGGUCUGAGAUUUUGUGUAAAUGUUUUCAGAAUGGUGUUUUAAGAGUUUAAGUAUUGAGCUAAAAAAAAUUUAGAUUUACACAUAAUCGGUUGAAUUGUAAGUUGCUGCUGAUCUGUUUUGCAGUAAAAUUCUGGGCUUCUAGAGUCGAAUUAUAUGCUUAAUAUUUUUGUGGUUAUGUGCUCCUCAGAGUCUAGUUUAUGUGCGCAAAAGAAUCGAAUCAAUUCGAUUAGCGAGCUAGGAGAUAUGACCGUUUUAGUAUAGUAUGGUGCUGAAAAUUCUGGGCAGGUUUGUCCUGUUCUAGGCUCUGUUUUACUGCUUUAAACUUGAAGUUUCUUUCUGAAAAUUUUACUGUAGGUUGGAAUAAUAUUCAGGAGUGUCUCAUAAAAAUUUUGUAUUUAAAAGAUAAAUUUUCAAUUUAUUAAAAAUCAUAGACCGAGGGCUGUUUGAACUAUUUGUUCUAGUUUUUCUUUCUUUGCUAGUGCAUAGUAUGAGGUUAUACUUGGCUAAUUGCAUAUGAUUGAUUAUUACAUUGAUUGGCUCGGUUAACCUUUAUAUCUAAUUAAACGUGCUUUGCGUAUAACAAAUUAGUAAUCCUGCUAAAAGAUUUUAUUAUAUGUUCACUACAAGUCAAGACAGAUUUUCUGUUCACUGCAAGCCAAGGGAUCUUUUUUUAUAUUAAUAAUUCAUGUGUUAGCAAUGGUAUUGGUUGGUUGUUGGUAUUGCAAACAGGUGGAUAGUCCGAUAAACAGAGGAGAUGAUGCCGAAUUUUCGUUAGGAAUUAUAUGUAUUUAAUGGCUAUAAAAAGGGGUUAUUUGUGCAAUUAUGUGUUAUGUGUUUAUCUGCCUAUGUGGUAUGUAUAUGCGAAGGGUAGAUAUAUAUAGGUCUUAAUACUUUUCAGAGUUAGUUAAUUUGUCUGAUCCGACGGUUAAAAUACUAUUUUACUAUCGUAUAGAAUUGAAGACAUUGACCGAGGCAUUGAUCGAGAAGUGAUUGAAAUGGGUAUCCAGAAUUAGCCAAGUAGUGUUGCAAGUUGAAGUAGGGCGGAGAUUUGUUAUAGAUAAAAGCUUGUCAGAAGCUGGCAGAAAGGAAUGAUAUGGCGGUAUAUAGUAUUAUUAGAAAUCUGACCUAGACACCAGAGUUAAGGCAAGUACUUCUACCUUUCUCUCGCAAUUUAGAAGCAAGUAUUUCUACCCUACUCCUCUAGUACCUAUAGAUACUAAAACCUUCUUUAUAUCAUGAUUCAAAUUAUUUGCAAUUACUUUCUUGUGAAGCAUAUCUAGUACUUUUAAACCUUUUGGUUGAACGGAUAACACUUUUGGUAUCGACUCUACACUAUGAUAUGCAUAAAGAAAUUGUUUUAACAAAAUGUUGUUCUGGCUCUUGAAUUACAUGAUAGAACUGCAGAUUGUUUUAAAAAUUAAACUGUUGGGUUGUUUUUGCGUAAGAGGCUCGGGCACCGGCCCAGCGUGAAAGGUGGCUCCUUAAGCCCGGAUUACCGGAAUUCGUAAUAUUUGUCAACCUUGCUGAAUAAGCUUGGUUUAUGGACUAUAGCAUGACUGAUCAUCUGUUAUAGCCAGGUGUCCAAUUAAUUUUAAAGCCCAAUAAAAUUGUGAAUAGUUUAAAAAGAAGUUACCCUGCCUUCAAGAGAUAUUUGCUUAUACAUUCAUUUCUGCAGUUUUAAAUAUUUUCACUUCUUUAUUAUGGCAUUGCUGUACAACAAAUAUCAAUUUCAUUUUGUUAUUCUUGCUGAGCAUUAUUGCUCAUUCUUGCUAUUCCUUCUAACCCUUUUCAGCUAGGAAUAAAGAUGAUUCACUUAAGACUAGGCAAGGAUUGCAAGUGGUUGAGUUUCAAGCAGAUGGACAGGUAGAGUAUUUAGGACGAUGUCAUUAAGACUAGAUGCAGUUGGAGUUCUGCAAUUCAAUUCAGUUGGAAAUUAGAUUUGUUUAUUUGGUUAUCAGCUACUCUUCUUAUCGAGGUUUAGCUGAUAAUGUUGUUUAAUUUGUAAAUAAGAUUUUAUAGUUUUAGUUUCUGAUUUCAAUGCUGUAGCCUGUAUGCGAUCCUGUUUUCAGGGGGUGAAAUUGAUUUUGAAUUAAAGACCUUCUUUUAAAAAAAUAAUAUCCAGGUUUAGAAAUACUUGUUUUUACUUUCUUCCAAAAAUACAGGUUUUAAAUUGUUUUUCUUUUAAUGGCUCAAAACUACAGGUUUUAAAUUAUUUUUAUUUACACGUGGCACCAGAUCUAGACCCCCGGAUUUGAGGGAUGUCACAGUUGGUAUCAGAGCUACAGGUUAUAAGUUAUUGAAAUCAGAAUGUAGGUUGUAACUUGUCUAAUAAGAUAGACACGUUAAGUGAAACCUCACAUAUAGGUAAGUUCAGAUUAGUGGUGUAACCUCAUAUAGAGGUAUCGUAAGACUAUUUGGGGAUAGUCCUUUUGAGCAUAAUAAAAUGAAGCUAAACGAUUAUGUUUAAGUGAUUAUGGUUAUAGACACAACAAUUCCUAAUUCUAGUUCUUCCAGUCCCUAGUGGCCUAGUUUAUUGACCAAUUCAGAUUUAUAUCAUUGUAAGAGGGUCAAAGUUAGACCUAUCAACAGAACCUUCAAGCUAGAACCAGUAGAGAUUCUCACACAGUCUAAUGUAUCCUUUAUAGUAUCUUCCAAGUGUUGAGUAUUAUUUGAAGAGUCACCUUUUGAUUCUUGUCAGAGAUAUCUAGAAUUGGUGAAAGAAUAGAGGUGUUAACAAGUCCGAGUUUACAGCUUUGUAUAUAGUUAAGUAGUGAGCGUUAGAGCUACGUAGAGUUUGUGUUAGAUUAUUCGAUCUAGUACUUAUGUGUGAGUUAAGAUGUCAACGCUCUAUGGUGAUGAUUGUAUAAAGUUGGAUAAGACUUUUGACCGACAACGAUAUCAAUGAUGGGAUCUUCAGAGGCUAUUACUAGUCAACGAUAAUAUAUGCAAGUGGUCACUAAAACGUCAAGAAAAAUCACUAGAAUCAGAACGAGUCAUCAAAAGAAUCGAUCAAAAAGACAUCUGUGAGAAUCCUGGCAAUACCUUCCUCAUUGUUGAUAUAUUGAUUUCUUUCCCCAUCAAUGAUUUGUUCUGACAUCACUUUAAAAAAAAAAAAUAUUUGAUAAAGAGUAUAUUUUUACCUUUCACUCGAGUUCUCGAAUGAUACUUGUGCUUACUGUCACACCUAUAGAAUCUAUUCAAUCUUGGUAAUUUCGAACCCUUUCAUAUUCUUUACUCUAACUGAGAUGAACAACCCUACCUAUAGGGGACACAAGGACUACCUGUCUGUGUGAUAGGAGUUGGAUGGGACGCCAUCACUUGUGUGUGUUGUACAUUACAAGAAGGUUAACUACCUUUAGUAGUGUCUUAAAUUAGACACGCAACACCGAGUUCUAUAGACCAUAUUGAUCUCUCAGUUAUUCAUUUAUUUCAAUCACGUAACACUUGCUCCAAUAUGUGAAAUCUGUCAUAUCUUUUACCUUCAAGAUUCUUCUAAUCUCUAAUAGUUGGAGGUAUGCCAACCGAGUUGCCAAUAUGAAUUAAGACUUUGUAGUAAGAAGCACCAGGGAUGAAAGCGAAUGACAAUGCUGGUUAUAUCAGAAAGGAAUAUUAUGGAUUAUAGAGAUCGUACACUCUAGUUUUCUUUUUGAUGAUUCCGAGGACGGAAUCUUUUUAAGGGGGGUAGAUUGUGACGACCCGGAUUUUCAGAAAUUAUUUUAUUAUUUUUAUUCAUGAUUAUUCGAGACAAAUGAGGAAUAAAUUUCAAUAUUUUAUUCUAGUUUGAUAAUUUUCAAAAAUAUUUGUUUAAAUUAUUUUCCUAGUCAUUGUGAUUAUGAGAAAAUAUCUGUUGAUUGUACAAUUAUAUGUUACGAGAUUUAAUUGAAUUAGUUGUCUACUAUUAUGUCUGUGUGUGCAUUUAUUUUUACUUUUAAUAUUACUGUAUUGUUUUAUUGAAAUUUAUUAUCCUCUUAAAUGGAUAUUUAUUUUUGUAAAAAUACAAAGAUAAUUUCAAAAAUUAUUUUAAUUGCUCGAUAGUGAUCAUAAAUAUGUUUAGAAGUUUUUAAAAUAUUAAAAAUCCAAUUUCUACAAGGACAUGAUUUUUAAUUAGUUUCUAAACGCAGCUAACUUCUUAAUUUUGUAUAAAUUUUGAAAAUGCUCUAUAAAUCUUGAAACUUUUAUUUUAUGAGUUUUAUAAUAUUCGGUAAUUUAUAAAAUUAGUUUGUUAAUUUUUCGAGAAAGUUUUAAUGCGAGUUAUCCCGUAAAUCAACUAAAUAGCGGGUGUUUGGAUGAUUAUUCAGCUUAAAAUAAAACGUGGCAGCCUUUGGCCAAACCACGUGCCCUGCUUUUCACCACCGCCAUCCCUUUUCUUCAUUUUAUAUACAUCAGCCUCUCAAUCUCUCUCUCUCUCUCUCUGUGAAAUCCUCCAUCUCUCCCUCUCCGCUCCUCUUUCUUUUCUCACCCAUCUUCCUCUCUUUCUUGGCAUCACCGUCCCUUCCCUGCAGCCGCCGAAUUAUGCCGUUAUGCCGCUGCCACCUCUUUCCAGCGACCACCAUAGCCCUGCACCAAUUAUAAAUCAGUGGGUGUAAAGCUUAAUUUCUCUUUGUCAAAUCAGUUCUAUAUAAACGUAUAUAUACAUGUGGUGUUGUGUUUAUAUGGAUUAAAUUGAUUUAUAUAAUCGAUUUAUGUGUGCUUGUAUGUAUAUAAACUGAUUAUAUGCUGGUUUUUGAAAUUUGAAGGUUGAUUGAAUUUUUGAGAUUGAGAUUGGUGUUAGUAAUCGUAUGAUUGAAUUGUGUGCUUAAUUGAUAUUUGAAUUGGUUGUUGUAAGUUGAUUAUAAAUAGUGCGCCAAUUAGUAGUGUAAUCGGAUGACUUGGGUACUUGAAUUAUGGGAAUAUAUAACUGAGUAUUCAAGCUUUAAGGUCUGAGAUUUUUGUAAAUGUUUUCAAAGUGGUGUUUUAAGAGUUUAAGUAUUGGGCUAAAAAAAAAUUUUGAUUUACACAUAUUCGGUUGAAUUCUAGAUUGCUGUUGAUCUGUUUUGAAUUACAACUCUGGGAUCAUAGAGUUGAAUUAUAUGCUUAAUAUUUGUGUGGUUAUGUGCUCCUUAGAGUCUAGUUUAUGUGCGCGAAAGAACCGAAUCGAUUCGAUUAGCGAGCUAGGAGAUAUGACCGUUUUAGUAUAGUAUGGUGCUGAAAAUUCUGGGCAGGUUUGUCCUGUUCCAGGCUCUGUUUUACAGCUUUAAACUUGGAUUUUCUUUCUGAAAAUUUUACUGUAGGUUGGAAUAAUAUUUAGGAGUGUCUCAUAAAAAUUUCGUAUUAAAAAGAUAAUUUUUCAAUUUAUUAAAAAUCAUAGACCGAGGGCUGUUUGAACUAUUUGUUCUAUUUUUCUUUCUUUGCUAGUGCAUAGUAUGAGGUUAUACUUGACUAAUUGCAUAUGAUUGAUUAUUACAUUGAUUGGCUCGGUUAACCUUGUAUAUCUAAUUAAAAGUGUUUUGCGUAUAACAAGUUAGCAAUCCUGCUAAAAGAUUUUAUUAUAUGUUUACUACAAGUCAAGACAGAUUUUCUUAUGUGUUUACUGCAAGUCAAGGGAUCUUUUUAUAUUAAUAAUUCAUGUGUUAGCAAUAGUAUUGGUUGGUUGUUGGCAUUGCAAACAGGUGGAUAAGCUUAUAAACAGAGGAGAUGCUGCCGAAUUUUCGUUAGAAAUUAUAUGGAUUUAAUGCCUAUAAAAAGGGUUGUUUGUACAACUAUGUGCUAUGUGUUUAUGUGACUGUGGUAUGUAUAUGCGAAGGGUAGAUAUAUAUAUAGGUCUUAAUGCAAUUCAGGGUUAGUCAAUAUGUCUAAUCCGACGACUGAAAUACUAUUUUAUCAUCGUAUAGAAUUGAAGACAUUGACCGAGGCAUUAAUCGAGAAGUGAUUGAAAGGGGUAUUCAGAAAUAGCCAAGCAGAAUGUUACAAGUUGAAGUAGGACGGAGAUUUGUUAUAGAUAAAAGUGUGUCAGAAGCUGGCAGAAAGGAAUGAUUAUGCGGUAUAUAGUGUUACUAGGAAUCUGAGCUAAACUUUGGAGUUAAGGCAAGUACUUCUACCUUCUCUCGCAAUUUAGAAGCAAGUAUUUCUACCCUACUCCUCUAGUACCUAUAGAUACUAAAACCUUCUUUAUAUCAUGAUUCAAAUUAUUUGCAAUUACUUUCUUGUGAAGCAUAUCUAGUACUUUUAAACUUUUUGGUUGAACGGAUAACACUUUUGGUAUCAACUCUACACUAUGAUAUGCAUAAAGAAAUUGUUUUAACAAAAUGUUAUUCUGGCUCUUGAAUUACAUGAUGGAACUGCAGAUUGUUUUAAAAAUUAAACUAUUGGGUUGUUUUUGCGUAAGAGGCUCGGGCACCGGCCCAGCGUGAAAGGUGGCUCCUUAAGCCCGGAUUACCGGAAUUCGUAAUAUUUGUCAACCUUGCUGAAUAAGCUUGGUUUAUGGACUAUAGCAUGACUGAUCAUCUGUUAUAGCCAGGUGUCCAAUUAUUUUUAAAGCCCAAUAAAAUUGUGAAUAGUUUAAAAAGAAGUUACCCUGCCUUCAAGAGAUAUUUGCUUAUACAUUCAUUUCUGCAGUUUUAAAUAUUUUCACUUCUUUAUUAUGGCAUUGCUGUACAACAAAUAUCAAUUUCAUUUUGUUAUUCUUGCUGAGCAUUAUUGCUCAUUCUUGCUAUUCCUUCUAACCCUUUUCAGCUAGGAAUAAAGAUGAUUCACUUAAGACUAGGCAAGGAUUGCAAGUGGUUGAGUUUCAAGCAGAUGGACAGGUAGAGUAUUUAGGACGAUGUCAUUAAGACUAGAUGCAGUUGGAGUUCUGCAAUUCAAUUCAGUUGGAAAUUAGAUUUGUUUAUUUGGUUAUCAGCUACUCUUCUUAUCGAGGUUUAGCUGAUAAUGUUGUUUAAUUUGUAAAUAAGAUUUUAUAGUUUUAGUUUCUGAUUUCAAUGCUGUAGCCUGUAUGCGAUCCUGUUUUCAGGGGGUGAAAUUGAUUUUGAAUUAAAGACCUUCUUUUAAAAAAAAAAAAUAUCCAGGUUUAGAAAUACUUGUUUUUACUUUCUUCCAAAAAUACAGGUUUUAAAUUGUUUUUCUUUUAAUGGCUCAAAACUACAGGUUUUAAAUUAUUUUUAUUUACACGUGGCACCAGAUCUAGACCCCCGGAUUUGAGGGAUGUCACAGUUGGUAUCAGAGCUACAGGUUAUAAGUUAUUGAAAUCAGAAUGUAGGUUGUAACUUGUCUAAUAAGAUAGACACGUUAAGUGAAACCUCACAUAUAGGUAAGUUCAGAUUAGUGGUGUAACCUCAUAUAGAGGUAUCGUAAGACUAUUUGGGGAUAGUCCUUUUGAGCAUAAUAAAAUGAAGCUAAACGAUUAUGUUUAAGUGAUUAUGGUUAUAGACACAACAAUUCCUAAUUCUAGUUCUUCCAGUCCCUAGUGGCCUAGUUUAUUGACCAAUUCAGAUUUAUAUCAUUGUAAGAGGGUCAAAGUUAGACCUAUCAACAGAACCUUCAAGCUAGAACCAGUAGAGAUUCUCACACAGUCUAAUGUAUCCUUUAUAGUAUCUUCCAAGUGUUGAGUAUUAUUUGAAGAGUCACCUUUUGAUUCUUGUCAGAGAUAUCUAGAAUUGGUGAAAGAAUAGAGGUGUUAACAAGUCCGAGUUUACAGCUUUGUAUAUAGUUAAGUAGUGAGCGUUAGAGCUACGUAGAGUUCGUGUUAGAUUAUUCGAUCUAGUACUUAUGUGUGAGUUAAGACGUCAACGCUCUAUGGUGAUGAUUGUAUAAAGUUGGAUAAGACUUUUGACCGACAACGAUAUCAAUGAUGGGAUCUUCAGAGGCUAUUACUAGUCAACGAUAAUAUAUGCAAGUGGUCACUAAAACGUCAAGAAGAAUCACUAGAAUCAGAACGAGUCAUCAAAAGAAUCGAUCAAGAAGACAUCUGUGAGAAUCCUGGCAAUACCUUCCUCAUUGUUGAUAUAUUGAUUUCUUUCCCCAUCAAUGAUUUGUUCUGACAUCACUUAAAAAAAAAAAUAUUUGAUAAAGAGUAUAUUUUUACCUUUCACUCGAGUUCUCGAAUGAUACUUGUGCUUACUGUCAGACCUAUAGAAUCUAUUCAAUCUUGGUAAUUUCGAACCCUUUCAUAUUCUCUACUCUAACUGAGAUGAACAACCCUACCUAUAGGGGACACAAGGACUACCUGUCUGUGUGAUAGGAGUUGGAUGGGACGCCAUCACUUGUGUGUGUUGUACAUUACAAGAAGGUUAACUACCUUUAGUAGUGUCUUAAAUUAGACACGCAACACCGAGUUCUAUAGACCAUAUUGAUCUCUCAGUUAUUCAUUUAUUUCAAUCACGUAACACUUGCUCCAAUAUGUGAAAUCUGUCAUAUCUUUUACCUUCAAGAUUCUUCUAAUCUCUAAUAGUUGGAGGUAUGCCAACCGAGUUGCCAAUAUGAAUUAAGACUUUGUAGUAAGAAGCACCAGGGAUGAAAGCGAAUGACAAUGCUGGUUAUAUCAGAAAGGAAUAUUAUGGAUUAUAGAGAUCGUACGCUCUAGUUUUCUUUUUGAUGAUUCCGAGGACGGAAUCUUUUUAAGGGGGGUAGAUUGUGACGACCCGGAUUUUCAGAAAUUAUUUUAUUAUUUUUAUUCAUGAUUAUUCGAGACAAAUGAGGAAUAAAUUUCAAUAUUUUAUUCUAGUUUGAUAAUUUUCAAAAAUAUUUGUUUAAAUUAUUUUCCUAGUCAUUGUGAUUAUGAGAAAAUAUCUGUUGAUUGUACAAUUAUAUGUUACGAGAUUUAAUUGAAUUAGUUGUCUACUAUUAUGUCUGUGUGUGCAUUUAUUUUUACUUUUAAUAUUACUGUAUUGUUUUAUUGAAAUUUAUUAUCCUCUUAAAUGGAUAUUUAUUUUUGUAAAAAUACAAAGAUAAUUUCAAAAAUUAUUUUAAUUGCUCGAUAGUGAUCAUAAAUAUGUUUAGAAGUUUUUAAAAUAUUAAAAAUCCAAUUUCUACAAGGACAUGAUUUUUAAUUAGUUUCUAAACGCAGCUAACUUCUUAAUUUUGUAUAAAUUUUGAAAAUGCUCUAUAAAUCUUGAAACUUUUAUUUUAUGAGUUUUAUAAUAUUCGGUAAUUUAUAAAAUUAGUUUGUUAAUUUUUCGAGAAAGUUUUAAUGCGAGUUAUCCCGUAAAUCAACUAAAUAGCGGGUGUUUGGAUGAUUAUUCAGCUUAAAAUAAAACGUGGCAGCCUUUGGCCAAACCACGUGCCCUGCUUUUCACCACCGCCAUCCCUUUUCUUCAUUUUAUAUACAUCAGCCUCUCAAUCUCUCUCUCUCUCUCUCUGUGAAAUCCUCCAUCUCUCCCUCUCCGCUCCUCUUUCUUUUCUCACCCAUCUUCCUCUCUUUCUUGGCAUCACCGUCCCUUCCCUGCAGCCGCCGAAUUAUGCCGCUGCCACCUCUUUCCGGCGACCACCAUAGCCCUGCACCAAUUAUAAAUCAGUGGGUAUAAAGCUUAAUUUCUCUUUGUCAAAUCAGUUCUAUAUAAACGUAUAUAUACAUGUGGUGUUGUGUUUAUAUGGUUUAAUUUGAUUUAUAUAAUCGAUUUAUGUGUGCUUGUAUGUAUAUAAACUGAUUAUAUGCUGGUUAUUGAAAUUUGAAGGUUGAUUGAAUUUUUGAGAUUGAGAUUGGUGUUAGUAAUCGUAUGAUUGAAUUGUGUGCUUAAUUGAUAUUUGAAUUGGUUGUUGGAGGUUCAUUAUAAAUGGUGCGCCAACUAGUAGUGUAAUCGGAUGACUUGGGUACUUGAUUUAUGGGAAUAUAUAACUGAGUAUUAAAGCUUUAAGGUCUGAGAUUUUGUGUAAAUGUUUUCAGAAUGGUGUUUUAAGAGUUUAAGUAUUGAGCUAAAAAAAAUUUAGAUUUACACAUAAUCGGUUGAAUUGUAAGUUGCUGCUGAUCUGUUUUGCAGUAAAAUUCUGGGCUUCUAGAGUCGAAUUAUAUGCUUAAUAUUUUUGUGGUUAUGUGCUCCUCAGAGUCUAGUUUAUGUGCGCAAAAGAAUCGAAUCAAUUCGAUUAGCGAGCUAGGAGAUAUGACCGUUUUAGUAUAGUAUGGUGCUGAAAAUUCUGGGCAGGUUUGUCCUGUUCCAGGCUCUGUUUUACAGCUUUAAACUUGGAUUUUCUUUCUGAAAAUUUUACUGUAGGUUGGAAUAAUAUUUAGGAGUGUCUCAUAAAAAUUUCGUAUUUAAAAGAUAAAUUUUCAAUUUAUUAAAAAUCAUAGACCGAGGGCUGUUUGAACUAUUUGUUCUAUUUUUCUUUCUUUGCUAGUGCAUAGUAUGAGGUUAUACUUGACUAAUUGCAUAUGAUUGAUUAUUACAUUGAUUGGCUCGGUUAACCUUGUAUAUCUAAUUAAAAGUGUUUUGCGUAUAACAAGUUAGCAAUCCUGCUAAAAGAUUUUAUUAUAUGUUUACUACAAGUCAAGACAGAUUUUCUUAUGUGUUUACUGCAAGUCAAGGGAUCUUUUUAUAUUAAUAAUUCAUGUGUUAGCAAUAGUAUUGGUUGGUUGUUGGCAUUGCAAACAGGUGGAUAAGCUUAUAAACAGAGGAGAUGCUGCCGAAUUUUCGUUAGAAAUUAUAUGGAUUUAAUGCCUAUAAAAAGGGUUGUUUGUACAACUAUGUGCUAUGUGUUUAUGUGACUGUGGUAUGUAUAUGCGAAGGGUAGAUAUAUAUAUAGGUCUUAAUGCAAUUCAGGGUUAGUCAAUAUGUCUAAUCCGACGACUGAAAUACUAUUUUAUCAUCGUAUAGAAUUGAAGACAUUGACCGAGGCAUUAAUCGAGAAGUGAUUGAAAGGGGUAUUCAGAAAUAGCCAAGCAGAAUGUUACAAGUUGAAGUAGGACGGAGAUUUGUUAUAGAUAAAAGUGUGUCAGAAGCUGGCAGAAAGGAAUGAUUAUGCGGUAUAUAGUGUUACUAGGAAUCUGAGCUAAACUUUGGAGUUAAGGCAAGUACUUCUACCUUCUCUCGCAAUUUAGAAGCAAGUAUUUCUACCCUACUCCUCUAGUACCUAUAGAUACUAAAACCUUCUUUAUAUCAUGAUUCAAAUUAUUUGCAAUUACUUUCUUGUGAAGCAUAUCUAGUACUUUUAAACCUUUUGGUUGAACGGAUAACACUUUUGGUAUCGACUCUACACUAUGAUAUGCAUAAAGAAAUUGUUUUAACAAAAUGUUGUUCUGGCUCUUGAAUUACAUGAUAGAACUGCAGAUUGUUUUAAAAAUUAAACUGUUGGGUUGUUUUUGCGUAAGAGGCUCGGGCACCGGCCCAGCGUGAAAGGUGGCUCCUUAAGCCCGGAUUACCGGAAUUCGUAAUAUUUGUCAACCUUGCUGAAUAAGCUUGGUUUAUGGACUAUAGCAUGACUGAUCAUCUGUUAUAGCCAGGUGUCCAAUUAAUUUUAAAGCCCAAUAAAAUUGUGAAUAGUUUAAAAAGAAGUUACCCUGCCUUCAAGAGAUAUUUGCUUAUACAUUCAUUUCUGCAUUUUUAAAUAUUUUCACUUCUUUAUUAUGGCAUUGCUGUACAACAAAUAUCAAUUUCAUUUUGUUAUUCUUGCUGAGCAUUAUUGCUCAUUCUUGCUAUUCCUUCUAACCCUUUUCAGCUAGGAAUAAAGAUGAUUCACUUAAGACUAUGCAACGAUUGCAAGAGGUUGAGUUUCAAGCAGAUGGACAGGUAGAGUAUUUAGGACGAUGUCAUUAAGACUAGAUGCAGUUGGAGUUCUGCAAUUCAAUUCAGUUGGAAAUUAGAUUUGUUUAUUUGGUUAUCAGCUACUCUUCUUAUCGAGGUUUAGCUGAUAAUGUAGUUUAAUUUGUAAAUAAGAUUUUAUAGUUUUAGUUUCUGAUUUCAAUGCUGUAGCCUGUAUGCGAUCCUGUUUUCAGGGGGUGAAAUUGAUUCUGAAUUAAAGACCUUCUUUUAAAAAAAUAAUAUCCAGGUUUAGAAAUACUUGUUUUUACUUUCUUCCAAAAAUACAGGUUUUAAAUUGUUUUUCUUUUAAUGGCUCAAAACUACAGGUUUUAAAUUAUUUUUAUUUACACGUGGC